CUUUUCGAGGUAGGAGUCGACUCCUGUGAGGUAUGGUGCUGGGUGCAGAUGCAGUGUGGCUCUGGAUAGCACCUUAUGGACAGUUGUGUCCCCAAGGAAGGAUGAGAAUAGCUACUGAAGUCCUAAAGAGCAAGCCUAACUCAAGCCAUUGGCACACAGGCAUUAGACAGAAAGCUGGAAGUUGAAAUGGUGGAGUCCAACUUGCCUGGACCAGCUUAAUGGUUCUGCUCCUGGUAACGUUUUUAUCCAUGGAUGACUUGCUUGGGACUCAGAAUUCAUGAUUGAAGAAAUGCAGGCAGACCUGUUAUCCUAAACUAGGGUUUUUAAUGACCACAACAAGCAAGCAUGCAGCUUACUGCUUGAAAGGUGAGGAUUGGAAAUGUUGGGACUAUUAUAAUUGCAGAAUACAUGAUGAUCUCAAUCCAACUUGAACUCUCUCACUGAUUACUUGAUGACAAUAAAAUAUCUGAUAUUCUGCA
Molecule: long non-coding RNA, 479 nt
Filed under: Homo sapiens (human)
Lineage: Eukaryota; Metazoa; Chordata; Mammalia; Primates; Hominidae
Description: growth arrest specific 5
Rfam family: Small nucleolar RNA SNORD81 (bases 401-477)
Source: RNAcentral